Molecule: long non-coding RNA, 286 nt
Filed under: Salmo salar (Atlantic salmon)
Lineage: Eukaryota; Metazoa; Chordata; Actinopteri; Salmoniformes; Salmonidae
Description: lncRNA (ENSSSAG00000115966.1)
Source: RNAcentral
AGGAAGAUCAGGCUCCAGACACAGAUGCCCUACUCCAAGAACACCAGGAGCUCUUGGACAGUUUCGAUGUCCACGAUGAGGCCUCACCACCACCACUCAACGGCCUCAUCAGACUGGGCUACCAGACAGCAAAUGUCUUCAAAAGGAUGGAAGGAGGCGAGGCCAUAUCUCAUUGAUAACUGGCUGGCAGUAGAGGAUCAUCACCCAGAUGUCAACAGUGUUCAACCCAGCUGUCAUGUGCGGUAGAAAUUUCCUUCCGUGCCCCUUCUUCUGUGCCAAUUGUGAC